ACCGGCGAAGAAGAGUCGCCGGACGAAAACUGGUAAGCGUAGAUCGAGGUAAGGAACGGAAUUUUCUCCGGCGUCGGCGGCGGCGAUUUUGCCGGUGGUCUGUGAGAGAAGAGUGAGAGUUUUGGAAAUAGAAAGAAAAAAAAGAAAAAGAAAAAGAAAAAUAGAAGGAAAUUAGGUUUUGUGGGAAUUAUAUAUUUUUAAUUUUAAAAUCAUGUUCUUGUGGCUUUUUUUGUUACUCUUUUAGAUCUUAGAAUUGUAAUUUGUGUAUAAAUUAAUAUAUAUAUAAAUAUGUAUUUUGUGUUUGUUUAAUUUCAAAUCUUUAUGUGUAAAUUAUUAAACUAAAAUUUCUCCCAAAUUUGCCUUCUCAUCUCUAUCCCUUCUAGAUCUUAAUUCUUAAAUCAAUUCUGAACUUUUUGAGCAUCGUUACGUAUAGAAAUAUAUUGAUUGAUAAGGUAUAAAUGAGUAAUUAGGAAUUGAUAUUCCUUAAUUGUAACUCUCGAAGGGAAAUUGGAAGAGAUUUGAUUAAUUAGUAGUAAUAUUUAAGAGAGAAAAUAGAGAUAUGGUGAUUUUCCAAAUUUAGAGAGAGUAAGAUCAAAUUGAAUUUGAAGGAGAAGAAAAGAAAAGAAAAGAAAAGAAAAAGAGUAAUGAAUGUUGGAGGUUGAUAUGGUAUUUUGGUGAUCCCAAAGAGAUAUGGGGUAUAAUGUCAGCUCAUCUGUCUCAUAAUAAAAGUCCCACAGCUUGAUGCAAUAUUCUCUAUGUUCUCUUUUACUUAUUGGCUAUACUUAGAACAAAUACAAUUUUACAUAUUUCUUACCAACUCUAAGCUUAAAUUUGGAAUUGAAUACUUUUUCUUCUGUAAGGUGGAGUUUUGAUGUGGUGUUUUACAUUUGAUUUGGUUGAUAUUUUUUUAAUUAAAGAAAGGAUUAAAUAUUUGACCCCUCAAUUUUAGAAUAGUAGGUAAUGGUUUGACCAUUUUAACUAUGGGUAGGUUGGAUAUGGCCUUUAUGCUCAAUAUUGUUGUGUUUUAUUCUUAUUAUUUUCUAGUUUUUUUUUUUUUGUAGGAUAUAAUAUAAUUGGAAGGAUUAUGACUAGAUUUAAACUUGGUUUAUAAACAUCUUAAUCUUGGUUUAUAAACUUGAUUUAUUGAUUUAAAUAGUUACAACAAUUUCAAAUUGUUCCUAAAUAUAUGAUAUUUGAAAACUAAAUUGUUCCUAAAUUUAAGGUUUAAAUACUAGAUUAUCUUUACUUUCCUAAAUUUAAGGUUUAAAUACUAUAUAUAUAUAUAUAUAUAUAUAUAUAUAUAUAUAUAUAUAUAUAUAUAUAUAUAUAUAUAUAUAUAUAUAUAUAUUAAAAAAUGUAGGGAUGAAAUUGGUUUAUUUAACAUAAAAUGAGCAUACAUUAUAAAAUAUGUUCAAACCUUUGAAAAAGAAAAUUCCAAUUAUAGCAUAGGAGGGGUGCUAGCUCUUGUGAUUGCUAUUGAAUUGAGUGCUUUGGUUGCUUAAUUUUGGGUGUUUUAUUAGUUGACUUUUUGUUCAUACAAACAGUGCCAAUUUUACGUUUAGUAUAUCAAUUUUAAAAGUAUUAUCUUUAUUUUAGGGUCAAUUAUACUUUUAUAAUACAUGAGUUUUCAAAAUUUAUUAAAAUCAUAUUAUCUCGUAUUACUUUUAUAUCAUUUAAUUACUUAAAAAAAUCAAACAAAAAAAAUACUAUCAUAAUCUUUUCAAUCCAUUUAAAAAAAUUUGGAAACAAGAAAAAUACGUUUUAAAAAUUCAAAAACCAAAUGAGUUUAUUUUUGUAAAGGGAGAGACUAAAAAUGUUCAUUUCUAAGAUGUAAUGACCAAAUGCACACAUUCAUUAAAACUUAAGGAUUAAAAAAAAUCAUUUUCUCUCAAACUUUCCAUCCUUCUUCCAAAUGACGUUGAAUAAACUUGACUUUUGUUAUUUUUUUUUUAAUUUAACAAAAAUAAUCAAUCUUUGUUUAAACUUAACAAAAACCAUACACAUAACCUAAAAUACAAUUUCAUAUAAUUAUUUAAAUUAACAAUAGUAAUUAUUUGAGAGAUUUUUAAAUCUAAUUUAAAAACUUUCAAAACUAAAAUAAUUUAUUUUGAAGAUUGGAAACUAAAAUGAUACAUAUUGAAAACUUAAACAUUAAAAAGAUAUAUUUUUUUCAAGAUUAAGUAUUGUGAUGAUGUUUUUGAUAAAUUGGUUAAACGUAUACACAAAUUCAACAUAUAAGAUAUUCUUUCUCUCAUUCUAGAUGAACAUACAAGAAAAAUUGUAAAAAAAGUUAUAGUUCGUCUCUAAAAUUUCUUCCAAAAUAGUAGAAUUGACCACCUUCUCUUUCAACAAUCGUGUCAAUCGUGUUAGACUAUAAAUCUUGAGAUGUAACCGCCUUGUAACCUAUUGACUAUGACUCACAUCUCAAUAAACAAAGGAUCGCGUUUGAACCACUCUUUAUGAUCAUGUAAAAUUUUGGACUAGAACCCUAACAAACCUUGUUCAUGCCAUCGAUAUAUCCAACGUUACAUGAUAGAGACAUAUAAUAAAUAAUUGAGGAAGGGAAGAAAGUAAUGAAGAAGAGUCCACACCCACUAACUCCAUCUGCAUCGCAACGAUAGAGGUGUCUGACCACAUCCUCUCUAGCGCUCGCACACAUCGUUACACUGAUCACAUCCCUCGAACUCAAUAACAAAAGGUUAGGGAAAAGAGUAAGAGAAGAAGGGGUUGGGAAUUGAUUCGAGGAAAGUGGUCCAAUUUUGAUAUAUGUGGAGAUAUUGAGAGAUUAGCAUAUCUACAAAUUAAUGAAUACAUAAAUAAAUAUUAGGGACCAGCAUGGACUUCACCUUCUCAUCAU
Molecule: long non-coding RNA, 2857 nt
Filed under: Cucumis sativus (cucumber)
Lineage: Eukaryota; Viridiplantae; Streptophyta; Magnoliopsida; Cucurbitales; Cucurbitaceae
Description: long non-coding RNA (CSAT_LNC001366)
Source: RNAcentral